Molecule: RNA transcript, 3927 nt
Organism: Strongylocentrotus purpuratus (purple sea urchin)
Lineage: Eukaryota; Metazoa; Echinodermata; Echinoidea; Camarodonta; Strongylocentrotidae
Gene name: OTU domain-containing protein 3
Exons: 10
Source: RefSeq, a predicted model, not a curated record
AAGUAUCAAUGACGUCAUAGCGAUGGUGCAAGCUGGCCGAGAAGGAAGGAAUACGAAAUUGACAAUGUCGAUGUUUUAACGUUUUGAGAUACAUUCUGAUUACAAUUACAAUCGGAAUUCAUUCGUUUCUAAAUAAAUAUUAUCUUAGGGGUUUAUAGUUUAAAGCCGUAGAGGAUGGCCCGUUCUGCAGCUCAGAACCAGGAGCGCCAAGGCCAGCGCUCUGCUCAACAAGGGGGUCAAUCCAAGCCCAGCAAAGGACAGCGUCAGGAUGCAGCAGAACGGAAGAGGGACGAGCGAGCCAUCAGGAAUGCUUACAGGAAGACGAAAAAGGACGAAUCGUACCUUGCAGACGAUCAGAACUUUGCAAGCUUUGCCACCCAGCUGCAGAGUAUGGGUCUUCAAUUGAGAGAUAUUCCUGGUGAUGGAAACUGUUUAUUCCGAGCUCUUGGGGACCAGUUGGAAGGCCACGGUCGCAACCACAUGGCUCACCGGUUAGACGUUGUACAGUAUAUGAGAGAUCACAAAGACAACUUUGAACCCUUUAUGGAAGACGACGUACCAUUUGAGAGACAUUUGUCCAACCUGGCCAAGCCUGGUACCUAUGCAGGAAAUGACAGUAUCGUGGCCUUUGCUCGCCUCCUGAAGGUCAAUGUGGUCAUUCAUCAAUUGAAUCUUCCAGUAUGGAGGAUUGUAGGUUCAGAUAAGCCCUCAUGCAAGGAACUUCAUAUAUCCUACCAUAAUGGUGACCAUUACUCUAGUGUAAGGAAGCUGGGUGACAACUCAGAGAAAGCUACCAACUUCAGGAACGGUGGCGAGUCAUCUAGUUCAGACAUUAAAACCAAGCCUAAGGCCAGGACAAAGUCCAAAGUGAGCGAUGAGAUCGAUGCACCGUACACCAAUGGAACAGUAGAAGAAGAUGGUCUCAUCGACGUAGAAUUACAUAUAAUGGUCGAGACAGGCUGUGAGGAUGUGCAAUUAAUACGAGAGACUUUCAUGGACAAUGAAUGCAACGUGGAUGCAACUAUAGGAGUGUUACUUCAAGUCACCAACGCUGACUGUGAUACAUUUUCUCAUGAUAAAAACUCUAUAAAAUCAGGAGAGCGAUCACCUCAGGGUGCUGCCGGCAUCUGGUCUACAGACGGCUCCGGAACUAGAUUAUUUGGUGUACCUGAAGACAGUGAUAGUAGUAGUAGCAGCAAGACACAGCCAAAUAGGACUCCCGGGGGGAAAGCCAAGAAUCAGAGUACCAGGCAGCAGAAAGCCCAGAAGCGGCUCGAGAAGAAGCAGAGACAGGCGGAGAGACAUCGACAGAGGAUACAGGGCGAAAAUUGCCAUAGCAACACGACAACCAGCAGUGACGAGGAAAGCAGCAGUGUUGUGCUCGUCGGCCAGAUGGGAGCGCUCUCAAUAUGACGACACCAGAUGCACUAGUUAUGUUACGAAAAUAGACACUUCAGGGAUUCAAUAUAGUAUCUGAGUUUUCAUUUCAUUCUGUCUGUGACGACCGCGCUUUGAUGAACAUUGCUAGCUGAGAAUGAUAGUUUGUUAUAUAAUUUUAUGAGCGAGUACAAGCAGCUCUUUUGUUUAGAUAUUCAAUGCAAGAGAUGAAUCAACCGAGGAACUAAUUUUGCAUUUAGCACACCAGAAGCUAGCUUAUGAUGAUAGUAUAUUACAUAAUUUUAUGAGCGAGUACAAGCAGCUCUUUUGUGUUUGGAGAUUCAAUGCAAGAGAUGAUUCAACCGAGGAACUAAUUUUGCAUUUAACACACUAGAAGCUAGCUCAUGAUGAUAGUAUGUUACAUAAUUUUAUGAGCGAGUACAAGCAGCUCUUUGGUUUAGAGAUUCAAUGCAACGGAUGAAUCAACCGAGGAACUAAUUUUGCAUUUAACACACUAGAAGCUAGCUCAUGAUGAUAGUUUGUUUUAUAUUUUUAUGAGCGAGUACAAGCAGCUCUUUUGCGUUUGGAGAUUCAAUGCAACGGAUGAAUCAACUGAGGAACUAAUUUUGCAUUUUGCAAGUUUUUUAGGUUCAUAUCCCUGUAUUAAAGAGAAUGAAAAUACAAUGUAAUAAAAUUCUGAAUCUCUAUCCAAUGGGCGAUUCAGUGUAAUGUUUCCAGUUCGACAUAUCGUCGGCCGGCUGGCAGAAGGGCGUUAGCGCGCAAGCAACUCAAAAACUACUUUUCGAAUUAUUCGCAUUUAAAGAUUUGUUUUAUACUUAAACUGCUUUCCAUCCCAAAAAUUGGUUUAAAACUUAAAAGACUAAUAGAAAUGUUAUAGUAGAACAUGGCCACAAGUUUUGUCGGAAAUAAGUCUGUUUUAUAAAAGUUUGAGGCGAUUAAGUGCUAACGCCCUUCUGCUUAACGCUUCAUUUUUUACCUGAAAUUUGAGCUAACGCCCCUCUGCCAGCAAGGCGACGAUAUGUCCAUUGUCCCCAUAAUUCGUCAAUAAAGAAAGAAUCUCUUGAUAUUGCAAUUGAACAUUGCUGCUUUCUGAUAUCACUACAGUUACACUUUAUCAAGAGAUUUUUCAUUCAUGGAUGAAAUUUCAUGUGAUGAUUUUGAGAGGGAUACAUAUAAUAAGGGAUAAAGAAUAUUCUUUAAUUUAAUUUUUCAACCGUACUCUUACUGAAAAACAUCCAAGUAGGACGUCUUGUAAGUUUUGAAUUUUUUUUUUUAUUUCAACUGUUGUUUGAUCCUGUAUAUCAGUCUUACUACCGGUACUAGAAUCACACAAAUUGUGGUAUCUUAUCUACAAAGCAUUAACGAAUGCCAAGAAAAUUAGUCAUGUUGUACAUGAAUUGAAGCAGAAACAGUUGAAUUUGUUCUUUUUGUUCCCUUCAUGGACAGUCGUAUUAAAGCUUUUGUCCAAAUAAACAUUAUACUGUGAGCAUUAGUAAGCAUUGUGCCCCCAAUUACUUUUGUAAAGCAAAGAGUGUUAGAAUCCACUAAUGAUUUAAAAAGAAUUCCAUUUUAGUUAUUUGAUUCAUUUCAAAGUCUUAUAUUUAUAUUUUCCUCCUUUAUCUUGCCCUUCUUAUCCUGUGGAUACCGAUUCUUAUUUUUAUAAAGUGCUUAGAAUUCAAAGGAAAUACUACCGUACAUGUUCAAGUAUAUGCUGGGGCGAAUAUAUGUAAGCAUACUUUCUUUAGACCUAGGAUACUUUAUAUUUUUUUGAAGUCUUUUGGAUUAGAAUUAUUAUAGGAUGUAUGGGAUGCCUAGUGACUCCAGCACACAGGCAUGGUUUUGAACCUUAGACCUCGGUAUUCCUAGACCAUAGCUUUAACCACUAAGCCAUGACACUUCAGUAUGCUGCUGUGAGUUCAUAAUGAUGUUCACUGUUUGUUCAUUCUUACCAGAUAUUAUAGGGCCCUGUGACACAAAGGUUUGCAAUCGAUAGAUGAAUUAACCACAUUUGGAAUAUAUUCUGCAUACAUUACUUGUUGCUAUAUCUGGCAAGCUCAGGCUGUUACAAACAAACUAUAUUUAAAUAUGUUAGUGAACCGGACUAGUGCAAAAUGACGAUGGCCAAUCAAGAUCAUUGUUGCAUGUAUAUCAUAUGUAUUGUUAACAAGGUCGACUAUUUACCAAUCAGAAUCAAUAUUUCAUAUUUACAAUUGAUCGCAAACCUUUGUGUCAUGCCCCCCCCCCCUCCCCCCAGAUUGUACGGAGACUUCAUUUGACUUCAGAGUAUAACAUGUGUACUUUCCUUUUUAUAUCGGUGAAUUUUGUUGUUUUUAUAUCUAUAUGGCAAUGUUUAAGUGAAUUAUCCUCUAUAGUCUGUACUUAAAAAAUGCAAACAUAAUUUGUUUAACUCGUUAGUCGUUACUAUCAAAUAGCUUGCUAGUCUUCUUUAGAAGUGAUAUCUUUAAUGGCUUAAAGGUUGAAAUGGAGAAAAAAAUACUGCUGUGUCACAUAUUUUGCACUUGAAAUUGA